Molecule: non-coding RNA, 4336 nt
Organism: Rattus norvegicus (Norway rat)
Lineage: Eukaryota; Metazoa; Chordata; Mammalia; Rodentia; Muridae
Source: RefSeq, a predicted model, not a curated record
GGAGACAGGCGCAGCCCCUCGCCCGGCGCAGCCGGAGGUGAGGCGUCCUCCCCUCCCGCGGGCGCUUGGAUGCGUGAGUCACCGUCGCAACCCUUCCUGGCGUGCCCGCCCGGCGACAGAGCUCAAGGGCAAGCUUCUGGCUCAAGAGACUUGGGAUAAAGACUGGACACUGCACACAGAUCUGUUGUUUCCCUGCCCCCUCCUCUCCUAGCUGUGAUUCAGCUCCUACUGGGUUAGAGGUGAGCAGGGAGGAUAGAUGUAGAGAAAAGGACAAACAUCUCUGUUAAACUGGUCUUGGCCACAGCUCUUUUCUUGCUGUUUGUGCUUAGAGACAGACACCAAGAGGCUAGCAUUUGCACGGGGGUAGCAGAGGAGCAGGUACUGGUGAACCAUGAAUAAUCAUAGGGUCUUCAGAAGGCAGGGUCUGGUCUCUUACCAUAUAGGUCCCUAAUACUUGAGAACUGGCUUCUGCCACAGAACUUUUAGAAGUUUCUCUUACAACAGUUCCCACCACUGAGGCUCUCCCCCAUCAACUUUUGGAGCUGGAAUAUCCUUGCUAAGUGGCCUGUCACUCUAGUUGGGACUCUAGCAAAUUGGCUCAUGUAUAGACAAGUUCCACAUUAGACAUGCAAUGCAUGCUGGGCAUACAGUCAUCAGACAGUCACUCAGUCUAGAUGUUGUAAAGGAUAGUUCUAGGAAGCCAUUCUGCUCUCUCCUUUUCCCUGUCUACCCUCCUCGUGGUACUUAGUAUUCCAUGGUAUAAACAUUACGUACGUGUCAAUUCCACUGUUAAUUAAAAUUUCAUAUUCUUUUGGUUUAAGACUUAUAAGAGCAUUGCAGGGACAAAUCAUUUUGUAAAUACUCCCUGAUUCUUAUGAACACAUUUAGAAAGUGUUAUUUUUAUUCUCUUUCUGUGUGUUUCUGUGUGUUUCUGUGUGUGUGUGUGUGUGUGUGUGUGUGUGUGUGUGUGUGUGUGUGCACAUGCAUGCGACUGUGGUUACCUCUGGAGGCCAGAAGAGGGCAUCAGACUCCCUAGAACUGAAAAUACUGGUGCUUAAGAGCCACCCAACAUAAUUGCUGCAAACUGAGCUCUGGUCCUCUACCGAAGCGGUGUGCUCUCCUCACUGCUGGGCCCAAACAGGUUCUUUUUGCUGUUGCUGUUGCUGUUGCUGUUAUUGUUGUUGCUGUUGUUGUUGUUGUCGUCGUCGUCGUCGUUGUCGUCGUCGUCGUUGUCGUCGUCGUCGUUGUCGUCGUCGUCGCCGCGUCGUCGUCGUCGCCGCCGCGUCGUCGUCAUCGUCGUCGUCGUCAUUGCUCAAUCUGAUGAAUCACCAUGUGGUCAUGGACUCCACAGGAAGACCAACACAGUGAACUAACCUGGAUGUUUGGGGGCUCCCAGAGACUGACCUACCGAAGAGCAUACCCAGGCAGGACCUAGGGCUCCUGAACAUGUGUAGCAGAGGAGCAGUUUGAUUUUCAUGCAGGUCCUGCACCAACAAGAAUGGGGGCUAUCCUUGAAUCUGCUGCCUGCCUGUGGAUCCUGUUCCCCUAACUGGGCUGCCUUAUCUGGCCUCAGUUUGGAACGAAUGUGACUAGCCUUGCUGUGACUUGAUGUGCCUGGGAGGGCAGGGAGUGGGGUGGAGUAGGAAGGUGGAGGGGUUGAUAUCUGGACUCAAAGGAGAAGGGAAGAAGGAAUGGGGGGGAGGAUCUUUGUGGGGAAGAGAAGAGGUGAGGGCUUAUAUUGGGAUGUUAAGAGAAUAAAUGAAUAAAUUUAAUAAAAAAAGACUCCCUUAAAGACUAACAAUGCAUAUUUAAUGGGGAAAUAAAUAUUUUCUUCCUAAAAUGGGGAACAAGGUAAGGAAAGUCACUUCUACCAGGCUAGUCUGCUUAAAGUCUCUACUUGGUGUAUUAAAAGGUGAAAAAAAAAACCCAGCUAUAAUGAUUGGGAUAAAAGUAAAAAAAAUAUUUUUUAGGUGAUAUUAUUUUAAUCAGAAAAUUUUUGAGGACUCACUUUCUACCAAACACUACAGUCAAUACGUAUUUAGCAAGAUGUAAGGACAUGAUUUGUAAAUUGUGUCAGUUACUUAUUGGGAGAGAGAUUUAUUUUGAGUCCAGUUCUCUCGGGAUGCAGUUCUCCAUGGUGGGAAGGCACAGAGGCUGUUCAGCUGCUUGCUUAGCGAUGGGUCCUCACACCUGGCAGAGGGGCAAGAAAGGAGGCACCAGGAGUGAAAAAAAUGAUCCUAUCUCCAAGGACCUACACACGCCUGCCAAGUCCCACCUCCUAAAGGGUCUAUAAUUCUUCCCAACUGCCCUAAGUCCCACCUCCUAAAGGGUCUACAGUACUCACCAACUGCCCCAAGUCCCUUCCCCCAAAAGUUGUACAGUUCUUCCCAACUGCCCUAAGUCCCACCUCCUAAAGUGUCUAUAGUACUCCCCAACUCCCCCAAAUCCCUCCCUCCAAAGGGUCUACAGUACUUCCCAACUGCCCUAAGUCCCUCCCCUCAAAGAUUGUACAGUCCUUCCCAACUGCCCCAAGUUCUACCUCCUAAAGGAUAUAUAGUCUUUCCCAACUGUUCCUCUCCCCAAUCUGGAAAGUAAGUGUUCUAAGCAAGAACUCAUGGGAGGAAAUCACAGAUUCAAACUAUAGCACUAAUGAACCCUGUAAUAAAAUUCACCCAUAUGUAAAGGACCUAGAAUCAAUCUUGGAAGGGGAAGAAGAUUUUUGAGAGUCGUAAUAUCUGCUUUAAAUUAUAUGAGAAAAGAUACAAUAACUCAGAUACAGACUUAUACAUAUAUCUCUCUAUAUGUACGUGUAUAUAUACAUAUACAAUAUAUAUGUUUCCAGAAAGGUUUAAUUAAAGAGAAAAGAACUACCCUGGAUAUUAUUAUCAAUGUGGUGGUGCCUUAAACUGAACAGAGAGGAAGAAGUAAAUGAAACACCAACAUUUCCUACACCUAUGUAUGUUUUAAUGGUGAUUCUAAAUCCAGUAAUAUUAAUAAUAAGACCAUCGCAACUCUGCCCUUUAUCAACCUGACACCUGAACACUACUCUUUUUUUCUUUUCAAUAUAUAAGUCUUUUAUUGUCCCCAAAGAGCCCAAAUUGUACUUGUGAUCAGGAUCUUGUUUCUGGAGCUGGGAAACUGAGGUUUCAUUCGUCAGCCUGCUGCACGGUUCUCAGACACAUAGAUGCCAUCCAAAAACUUUCUGAUAUCCUUGUUUUUAACUGUUGUGGCUGAAUCAGAGCCGCUGAAUUUGAAACAAGUUCAAUAUCAUUUCCUUCAAGGAUUAAUUCAUCCUUCUGGGCUUGAGACAGACAAGAACAAGGAACACUGUCCUCAUCUGAACCCUGCCGAUGUAUUUUUCACUCAAGAAAUUUUGGAUUUCAACCAAAGACCCCUCCUGAAUUGAUAGGGAAGUGAGCAUACGCAGACCUCAUCUUGUAACGGAAGCCCAGUGUCACACCCUUCAUCAUGGUCUGAACAGCACUGCAGAUGUUUCUGACAGUGGCCAGUUCUUUCUGUUACCCCACCAUUUGUCAACACGGAGCCUUUUCUUUUUCUUUCCAAGAAGACUCAGCUCUACACUGAUGUGAUUAAAGUCCCUCCUCAGAGUUCCCCUGGGGCCCUUCACAAUGACUGUGUGCCCUUUCAGAGUGACGUCGACCUUUUCUGGAAUGUCGACAGUCUGAUUGCUGAGAAUGGUCUUUGUUCUCGAAGUAGGUAGGGCAAAAGCCUCAACACUACUCUUUAAACCAUAACAUUACAUCUUGUCCCCUAAAGUUUUAUUUUCACCACAUAAGGCAAAAUGCAUUUUGCCCAUCUUUAAGUAUCCCAAACCAUAGUCUUUCACAGUCCCAAUGCUGUUCAAAAGUUUCAAAUUCCAACCUCCUUCUGAGACUCUAGGUAAUUUCUUAAUUGUUAGCCCUACAUUAGUAAAAAAAAAUUACUUCCAAUACAAAUGAUGUAGUGACUAAUGGAAGGAUGGCCAGGAAAGACUGGACCCAAACCAGAACACUACAGCGCAAGAACUAGCACCUGCUGCACUUCAUUCAGCACCUGAGGCUCCUGAUGGAAUCACCUGGGCUCCAACAGCCUUGGGAAGAUCUGUCCCUCCAGAUCUGUCAAGUACAGUCCACGUGGCCUUUCUAUUGCCCUGAUUCUCUUUGUUCCUGCUUUUCUUUCAUUAGCAGAAAUUACAUGAUCCUGGCAUUUUUAGAAUCCUGAUCCCUCCAUUGCAAAUUAGGCAUUACCUUUCUAGAUCAAUGUACUGGUCCUUCAAGGCCUCCUUGAAGGUUGAAUGUAACAUUUUGCCUCACAUUUUUGUCCCAUUAAAAAAUUU